GAAACUUCAAGCUCAGCUUGGUGUUGGGUGCUUGUCCCCGCCCGCGGCGGACUCACCUCAAAUGCAUUGGCGGCCGGUAUGUUGGCUACAGCGCAGUACAACGCGUCUGGCGUCUUGAUAUACUGGUCCUCCAGAAGCCCUUCUUUG
RNAcentral lists this unclassified non-coding RNA (147 nucleotides) under uncultured Ascomycota. Its description in RNAcentral is "sequence contains ITS2". The record is from RNAcentral. RNAcentral also lists the same sequence under 1 other name. Lineage: Eukaryota; Fungi; Ascomycota.